Molecule: small nuclear RNA, 147 nt
Organism: Tupaia belangeri chinensis (Chinese tree shrew)
Lineage: Eukaryota; Metazoa; Chordata; Mammalia; Scandentia; Tupaiidae
Product: U4 spliceosomal RNA
Exons: 1
Source: RefSeq, a predicted model, not a curated record
AACUUUGCGCAGUGGCAGUAUCGUAGCCAAUGAGGUUUAUCCGAGGCGCGAUUAUUGCUAAUUGAAAAUAUCAAUCCUACCCCAAAUUAAUCUUAAAAGUUCAAUGCAAUUACAAUCAAACUACCAGAGAUACCUCACAGAAAUAGA